CCCAAAAUCUAGCCCACCAUCUAUUAUUAUUCAGAACCAAAAACAAAGCAUUUCCACCUUUUAGUAAAGGCGAUUAAAAAACUCAUGGGCGCUUCAAACCUAGUACCGCAAGGGAACAAUGAAAUAUUAAUGAAAUAUCCUUAAGCCUUAAAUAGUAAAGCUCAACCCUUGUACCUUUUGCAUCAUGGUUACUCUAGCUCAACCAGACAAAUCAUAACCUUUAGCCUGACUCCCCGAAACUGGGUGAGCUACUUUAAAAUAGCCUUCCGGGCAAACCCGUCUCUGUAGCAAAAGAGUGGAAUAAUUUUUAAGUAGAAGUGAAAAACUUAUCGAACCCAGAGAUAGCUGGUUAUUCAAGAAGAGAAUCUUAGUUCUACCUUAAGUUUUCACAUUAACACAAACAGCACCUCAAACUUAAGAGCUACUCAAAUAAGGGAUAGCUUAUUUGACCCAGGACACAACCUCACACAAAGGGUAACUUAUUAAAUUUCUAUCAAGCGGGCCUGAAAGCAGCCAAAAAAGCGUUAAAGCCUAAUACCACCUUACAACUAAUUCCAUCAAUUUACAUCAACCCUCAACCUUUAUUGAAUGACUCUAUCAACCCAUAGAGGCCACUAUGUCUAAACUAGUAACAAGAAUAUGAAAUUCUCCUCAAUGUAAGCCUAAGCCGCAACGGACACACCAACGGCAAUUAAAGUUAAUAGAUGCCCUACAAUAACCCCUCAAAAAACUUGUAUUAAAGAACGUUAACCUAACACAAGUACACUCCAGGAAAGAUUAAAAAAGGGGGAAGGAACUCGGCAAAUCUUAACCCCGCCUGUUUACCAAAAACAUCGCCUCUUGAUAACCCAUAAGAGGUCCAGCCUGCCCAAUGAUUAUUUAAAUGGCCGCGGUACCCUAACCGUGCUAAGGUAGCACAAUAACUUGUCCUUUAAUUGUGGACUAGUAUGAAUGGCACCACGAGGGUUAUACUGUCUCCCCCCUUCAAUCAGUGAAACUAACCUCCCCGUGAAAAGGCGGGAAAUAUACUAUAAGACGAGAAGACCCCAUGGAGCUUUAGACUAAGAACACGUUUAAUUUAAUACACCACUAAAAUUUUAAAUUCCUGACUCCGAGUCUUCGGUUGGGGCGACCAGGGAGCACAACACAACCUCCCUGCCGAAUGAACAAAAUUCUAAUCCAAGAAAUACAAUUCUAAGAAUCAACAAACUGACGCCUACUGAUCCUAAACUGAUCAACGAACCAAGUUACCCUGGGGAUAACAGCGCUAUCUACCUCAAGAGUUCAUAUCGACAGGUGGGUUUACGACCUCGAUGUUGGAUCAGGGUAUCCCUGUGGUGCAGCCGCUACAUAAGGUUCGUUUGUUCA
Molecule: ribosomal RNA, 1368 nt
Filed under: Platymantis corrugatus (Philippine wrinkled ground frog)
Lineage: Eukaryota; Metazoa; Chordata; Amphibia; Anura; Ceratobatrachidae
Description: partial 16S ribosomal RNA
Rfam family: Bacterial large subunit ribosomal RNA
Source: RNAcentral